RNAcentral lists this long non-coding RNA (622 nucleotides) under Pan troglodytes (chimpanzee). Its description in RNAcentral is "lincRNA". Lineage: Eukaryota; Metazoa; Chordata; Mammalia; Primates; Hominidae. The record is from RNAcentral.
AUUCAGCCUUCAGAUGGAAGGGACAGCCUUGAAGAUGCAUAAGUUUUGAUACUUAAACUUUUGGAGGAUUAAAUUUGUGAAAACAGAAGCUGAGGACCAAAGCAGCUACAGGACUGACCUGCCCAAAACCACACAGUGAGUCUGCAGCCCGGCUUCGGACCAGAGUUUCUUCUGACAAGAGGCAAGCUCAUUGAUGGCCACACCCGCUCAUCCUGGAUAACAGUAUUCCCCAGUGGAAUUAACACGAUGCAUCUUCCUGGAGCAUCAUUUUUACUUUAAGAUUUAAAAGCAAGCAAGCAAAUUAAAUAGUCAUUUAAAUCAUAUUUAUAUUAAGCCUAACAUGGCCAUAUUGUAGAGCAAACCAUCGGGAUUUAAUAAACAAAACAGGAAACUUCAAAGAAAUGCUUUUUCUUGGAAAGAAGGCAGGGGAGCAAGAAAAGCGACUGCCUCAGCCUUUAUCAUUCUCCAGACCAGUGCCAAGGAGCCAAAGAGAAGAAAUGAGAAUAACCAAGGUAUGCUGUGUCUAAUUAAUUAACUAUUAGCAAACAAAGGACCAAACAAUGUGACUGUAAGCUUCAUGACAGCAGGGAGUUUGUAUAUCUUUUCACCUGUGUAUCGGCAG